This 70-nucleotide transfer RNA is filed under the name Anolis monticola. Its description in RNAcentral is "tRNA-Tyr". It matches the Rfam family "tRNA". From Rfam's summary of the family: Transfer RNA (tRNA) molecules are approximately 80 nucleotides in length. The record is from RNAcentral. Lineage: Eukaryota; Metazoa; Chordata; Lepidosauria; Squamata; Anolidae.
GGUAAGGUGGCCGAAUGUUAGGUGGUGGGCUGUAGUCCUAUUUACAGGGGUUUAAUUCCCUUUCUUAUCA